Molecule: ribosomal RNA, 103 nt
Filed under: Nephroselmis pyriformis
Lineage: Eukaryota; Viridiplantae; Chlorophyta; Nephroselmidophyceae; Nephroselmidales; Nephroselmidaceae
Description: partial 5.8S ribosomal RNA
Rfam family: 5.8S ribosomal RNA
About the family: 5.8S ribosomal RNA (5.8S rRNA) is a component of the large subunit of the eukaryotic ribosome. It is transcribed by RNA polymerase I as part of the 45S precursor that also contains 18S and 28S rRNA. Functionally, it is thought that 5.8S rRNA may be involved in ribosome translocation.
Source: RNAcentral
AAAGGCGAUAGGUAGUGUGAAUUGCAAAAUCCCGUGAAUCAUCGAAUUUUUGAACGCAUAUUGCGCCCGGGGCCUCGGCCGAGGGCAUGUCUGCCUGAGCGUC